GUGCGAGACCGAUAGCGAACAAGUACCGUGAGGAAAAGAUGAAAAGAACUUUGAAAAGAGAGUUAAAGAGUACCUGAAACUGCUGAAGGGAAGCGAAUCGUAUCCAGUGUCUAUAAUCUGCGGCAUAUUUCAUUGGCGGCGGUGCGCGUGCUUUUGCGUCGGAAGCGGCUUUUGUUGCUCUGUGCUUUUGCUGUGCGUGGUGUUGCUGGUGCCCUGUGUUGCGGUGGGACGUCAGAGUCAGUUUGUAUGCUGCGGGAAAUGGCUGCCGAGGAGGUAGGUCGAGAUUUCGGUCUUGGCUGUUAUAUCUUGGUGGUUCGUUGUCGUGGUUGAGACUGAGGUGCCUACAAUGUGCUUUUGAGUGCGCCGGGUUCUCAUUUGGUGGACUGUUUGGAUAGCUUGCUAUGCUUGUGGUUUUUUCAUCGGGUGAUUGAGUCUGGUGGUAACUUGUUGCUGUUCGGGACUUUGA
Molecule: ribosomal RNA, 466 nt
Filed under: uncultured Oomycota
Lineage: Eukaryota; Oomycota
Description: LSU rRNA
Rfam family: Bacterial large subunit ribosomal RNA (bases 1-83)
Source: RNAcentral